UACGUAGGUGGCGAGCGUUGUCCGGAUUUACUGGGCGUAAAGCGCGCGCAGGCGGCAGUCUAAGUCCUCUGUGAAAUCACCCGGCUCAACUGGGUGGCUGCGGAGGAGACUGGGCAGCUUGAGGGGCCUAGAGGCCGGUGGAACUCCCGGUGUAGUGGUGAAAUGCGUAGAGAUCGGGAAGAACACCAGUGGCGAAGGCGGCCAACUGGGCCGACCCUGACGCUGAGGCGCGAAGGCGUGGGGAGCGAACGGG
Molecule: ribosomal RNA, 253 nt
Filed under: uncultured bacterium
Lineage: Bacteria
Description: partial 16S ribosomal RNA
Rfam family: Bacterial small subunit ribosomal RNA
Source: RNAcentral